AAAGACCAGUUAUGGAAGGAGAAGCUAGAUCCGCCAUAUAGCGAGUCUUGUGCUGCUGAAGGUAACGACAGUAGUAAAGCGUAGACAGCGAAAUAUUCGAGCUGAAACCAAAUGGUGAACGUUAUAGCCCUGAAAGUGAGGUGUAGUGGAAGCCGAUAUGUUCUAGCCGAUAGUAGGCAAAAGAAGAUUGGAGGUCAAACUAGUGAAAAUUCAAAAAUUUUCAACUACCGGGGUCGCAGGCGU
Molecule: non-coding RNA, 243 nt
Organism: Orientia tsutsugamushi
Lineage: Bacteria; Pseudomonadati; Pseudomonadota; Alphaproteobacteria; Rickettsiales; Rickettsiaceae
Source: Rfam